This 253-nucleotide ribosomal RNA is filed under the name uncultured bacterium. Its description in RNAcentral is "partial 16S ribosomal RNA". It matches the Rfam family "Bacterial small subunit ribosomal RNA", at positions 524 to 776 of the family's 1533-position model. The record is from RNAcentral.
UACGUAGGGUGCAGGCGUUAAUCGGAAUUACUGGGCGUAAAGCGUGCGCAGGCGGUGAUGUAAGACAGAUGUGAAAUCCCCGGGCUCAACCUGGGAACUGCAUUUGUGACUGCAUCGCUGGAGUGCGGCAGAGGGGGAUGGAAUUCCGCGUGUAGCAGUGAAAUGCGUAGAUAUGCGGAGGAACACCGGUGGCGAAGGCAAUCCCCUGGGCCUGCACUGACGCUCAUGCACGAAAGCGUGGGGAGCAAACAGG